Molecule: non-coding RNA, 576 nt
Organism: Paramuricea clavata
Lineage: Eukaryota; Metazoa; Cnidaria; Anthozoa; Malacalcyonacea; Plexauridae
Source: the annotation of a GenBank genome assembly
GGAUUUCUGUGGAUUUUUGAAGGAUUUCUGUGUUUUUUAAAGGAUUUUGAUGGAUUCAACGGAUUUUGAGGAUUUCAUGGAUUUUUUCUGGAUUUUUUCCGGAUUUUUUGACGAAGUGUACGGGAUUUUUGGAGUGAAUUGCCCCUCGGCUGUUGGUGUAUUUGUCUGCCAUGCAACUGUAUGGGCUGGACCGGAGGAAUUAUCUGUAUGUUGACAAAAAACAAAAAGGUUGAAAUAUAUAGAGAAUAAUACAUGGGUGCGCGGAAAUACCAGAUUUAUUUCGAAUGUUGAACAUAUAUAUAUUGAUAUCUCACGAGUGAGCGCAGCGAAAUCUCUAUAAAGCACUAUACUCAAAUACUCAAUAUAAUAAAUGACUUUAAUUAUAAAUAAAACUGAUUGUAAAAGACAUGUGUAUUAAUUUAAAACAAUGUACACGUUUGCCCAACGUUUUAAACUUCAAUUUAUGGUGAUUUCAACUAUAUAACUAUUCAAAUCUUGUAUGACGGAACUUUCUCUAAGCCGCAUUUUAGUAAUUCUGUGUUUGAAUAAUACUCCGAAACGCAGUUAGUAAAAUAA